This is a non-coding RNA of Acanthosepion pharaonis, 107 nucleotides long. The record is from the annotation of a GenBank genome assembly. Lineage: Eukaryota; Metazoa; Mollusca; Cephalopoda; Sepiida; Sepiidae.
ACAGCCACAUCACAUUGAAACACUGGUUUUCAUAUGAUCACCAAAGUUAAGCAACAUCACGCCUGUUCAGUACCUAGAUGGGUGACUGCUUGGGAAUACCAGGUGCA